Molecule: ribosomal RNA, 440 nt
Filed under: uncultured bacterium
Lineage: Bacteria
Description: partial 16S ribosomal RNA
Rfam family: Bacterial small subunit ribosomal RNA
Source: RNAcentral
CCUACGGGAGGCAGCAGUGGGGGAUAUUGCACAAUGGGGGCAACCCUGAUGCAGCGACGCCGCGUGUGGGACGACGGUCCUCUGGAUUGUAAACCACUGUCCCCAGGGCCGAAGAUUACGGUACCUGGGGAGGAAGCUCCGGCUAACUACGUGCCAGCAGCCGCGGUACUUCGUAGGGAGCGAGCGUUGUCCGGAAUUACUGGGUGAAAAGGGAGCGUAGGCGGGGAUGCAAGGUGGGUGUCAAAACUACCGGCUCAACUGGUAGUCGCACUCAAAACUGCAGCUCUUGAGUGAAGUAGAGGCAGGCGGAAGUCCUAGUGUAGCGGUGAAAUGCGUAGAUAUUAGGAGGAACACCAGUGGCGAAGGCGGCCUGCUGGGCUUUUACUGACGCUGAGGCUCGAAAGUGUGGGGAGCAAACAGGAUUAGAUACCCCAGUAGUC